CAAUCCGGUUCUCGCUGGUUGUGAUGGCUUUAGUGUUCAAAGGGAGCACUGGGGUGUCGGUGAUGCAGACGCAAGGCCCCGUGAGUGUGUCCAAGGGGGAAGGUUGGAGGCUCCAUUGUAGCUAUGAUGAUGCCGCAGUGUAUGCCGUCUUCUGGUACGUGCAGAUCCCCAGCCAGCCCCCCCGGUUGCUCCUGAGGGACCUGGGACGCGAGGACUCGGAUGAAGGGAUCAGAAAAGGGUUCGAUGCCACCCACGAUAAAAAGAACAAAUCCUUCCACCUGUGGAAACCGGCCAGCGACCUGAGCGACUCUGCCACCUAUUACUGCGCCGCGAGCGACACAGUGACACGGACCGGCCGGGGAGCUGAGCACAAACCGCGCAGGGUGUGUGCAAAACAGAGGGGGCGGGGGAAGGCGCAAACACAGAACUUGGAUCUCUGGUCACCGUCUAGCUCUGGGCUUCACCGGCUUGAUCCAAUCCAGGGCUUCAUCUGUUGGAGACACUACACGGAAUAGCAUGUAACAAAAUUAACAUGAGACCAAUACGGUCUGUCAAAGAA
Mauremys reevesii (Reeves's turtle) is the source of this 559-nucleotide non-coding RNA. Lineage: Eukaryota; Metazoa; Chordata; Testudines; Geoemydidae. The record is from the annotation of a RefSeq genome assembly.